RNAcentral lists this long non-coding RNA (328 nucleotides) under Ricinus communis (castor bean). RNAcentral describes it as "long non-coding RNA (RCOM_LNC001238)". The record is from RNAcentral. Lineage: Eukaryota; Viridiplantae; Streptophyta; Magnoliopsida; Malpighiales; Euphorbiaceae.
GAGAAAGGAGUUUGGGCAGUUCCAAGAGGAGACUAGGGCACAGUUUUGAGGUUUAAAUGAUAUGCUCUAGCAACUUAUGCAUGGGUUGGAGAGGCAGGCCACCCAGACAUACUUAAUGGCGGGGCAGAUUAAAAAGAUGGUGGAGAACGGAGCAUAAAAUUAGCAGUUCAUUGAUGAUAUGGAUUUUGAUCUGGCAGGAUGCUUUAUGGACCCUGUGCCACCACCACCGCCCCCUCCUUUAGCGACUUCCCCUAUUCCUCAUCCUCCAGCAGAUCCGACCAGUGAGGAUGCGCCUUCAGCAGACUACCAGUAGUGAAACAAAAAUUUG